Molecule: unclassified non-coding RNA, 230 nt
Filed under: uncultured fungus
Lineage: Eukaryota; Fungi
Description: sequence contains ITS1, 5.8S rRNA gene
Source: RNAcentral
GUAUUUCAUUGCGUUAAACGCGACAUACAUUCCAUUAGACUUUAUUUCGGUGUGUGUGUAAAGACAUAGAACCACAGCAGGAGGACAGGGUCCCCCAGACCAUAGAACUACAGAGGGUGCACAGGUGUGAGUGGAUGUGUAAACAGAGCGUGCACAUGCCCCCUAUGAGGGCCAGCAACAACCCGUUUGACAAUUCAGUAAUGAUCCUUCCGCAGGUUCACCUACGGAAA